GACGGAGGAUGCAAGCGUUAUCCGGAAUUAUUGGGCGUAAAGCGUCCGCAGGUGGCGAUUUAAGUCUGCUGUCAAAGACCACAGCUUAACUGUGGGCAGGCAGUGGAAACUGGAUUGCUAGAGUGCGGCAGGGGUAGAGGGAAUUCCCAGUGUAGCGGUGAAAUGCGUAGAUAUUGGGAAGAACACUAGUGGCGAAGGCGCUCUACUGGGCCGCAACUGACACUCAUGGAAGAAAGCUAGGGGAGCGAAUGGG
This 253-nucleotide ribosomal RNA is filed under the name uncultured bacterium. RNAcentral describes it as "partial 16S ribosomal RNA". It matches the Rfam family "Bacterial small subunit ribosomal RNA", at positions 524 to 776 of the family's 1533-position model. The record is from RNAcentral.